This 902-nucleotide small RNA is filed under the name Pan troglodytes (chimpanzee). RNAcentral describes it as "retained intron". The record is from RNAcentral. Lineage: Eukaryota; Metazoa; Chordata; Mammalia; Primates; Hominidae.
AAUGCUGAUCUCUGUUAUGGGGCGUUGGCUGCCAUCCCUGGACUCCGGCCAGUCCGCCCUUCUGGGGCUAUGUACCUCAUGGUUGGAAUUGAGAUGGAACAUUUCCCAGAAUUUGAGAACGAUGUGGAGUUCACGGAGCGGUUAGUUGCUGAGCAGUCUGUCCACUGCCUCCCAGCAACGGUGGGUGCCUGUGUCUCUCAGGACAUUCUCAACAGUUUCUAGAGCCCCAGAAGCAAGCUCUGAGCUGGUUUUUAGCCUGAUCUUUUCUCCUCCAACAAAAUGUCUUCUCAUUUGAUAAGAUUCAAACUGAUGUGUCUCAUGGAUCCUAUUUAAAAUUUGCUUCUCCCCCCCAUCAUAAUCCCAUCCAUACUGGGAAGAAAAGUUGUAAACAAACGUUCUAGGUGAGAGGAAAUUGAGCCUGUCCCACAAGUCAUUUUAAGAUGAAUGAACUCAGUUGCUGACUUAGCAUCCCAGUCAUGGGAACUGAAUGAACUGAUGGCCCUGAUGAAAUGGUACCACUUCUUGUGGAUCAGGGUCCUGACCAUUUUAGGGUGGUCCAGUACCAGACUCAAUUGCUCUGAAAGUAACAUACUCUUCUUUUUGCAGUGCUUUGAGUACCCGAAUUUCAUCCGAGUGGUCAUCACAGUCCCCGAGGUGAUGAUGCUGGAGGCGUGCAGCCGGAUCCAGGAGUUCUGUGAGCAGCACUACCAUUGUGCUGAAGGCAGCCAGGAGGAGUGUGAUAAAUAGGCCUGCAUCCAUUCUCCUGAGGAUGUGUCCCAUCUAGGGAAGGCUGGACUAGGCCUUGCGGCUCCUCAGGGACUCAGGUGGCCCUACUGGGAGAGGGGCCUCAAAUGCACCAUGUCGAGGGUUCAAGAUUGUUCCUGCUUUUCCCCAAGUACAAC